GUGGGGAAUCUUCCGCAAUGGACGAAAGUCUGACGGAGCAACGCCGCGUGAGUGAUGAAGGUCCUCGGAUUGUAAAGCUCUGUUAAUCGGGACGAAAGAGCCUAGUGUGAAUAAUGCUAGGAAGUGACGGUACCGGAAUAGAAAGCCACGGCUAACUACGUGCCAGCAGCCGCGGUAAUACGUAGGUGGCAAGCGUUGUCCGGAAUUAUUGGGCGUAAAGCGCGCGCAGGCGGAUCUGCCAGUCUGUCUUAAAAGUUCGGGGCUUAACCCCGUGAUGGGAUGGAAACUACAGAUCUAGAGUAUCGGAGAGGAAAGUGGAAUUCCUAGUGUAGCGGUGAAAUGCGUAGAUAUUAGGAAGAACACCAGUGGCGAAGGCGACUUUCUGGACGAAAACUGACGCUGAGGCGCGAAAGCCAGGGGAGCGAACGGGAUUAGAAACCCUUGUAGUCC
RNAcentral lists this ribosomal RNA (450 nucleotides) under uncultured bacterium. RNAcentral describes it as "partial 16S ribosomal RNA". It matches the Rfam family "Bacterial small subunit ribosomal RNA", at positions 354 to 796 of the family's 1533-position model. The record is from RNAcentral.